This 253-nucleotide ribosomal RNA is filed under the name uncultured bacterium. RNAcentral describes it as "partial 16S ribosomal RNA". It matches the Rfam family "Bacterial small subunit ribosomal RNA", at positions 524 to 776 of the family's 1533-position model. The record is from RNAcentral.
UACGUAGGGGGCAAGCGUUGUCCGGAUUUAUUGGGCGUAAAGCGCUCGCAGGUGGUUCGUCGCGUCGUGCGUGAAAGACCCCGGCUCAACUGGGGAGUGUCGUGCGAUACGGGCGAACUGGAGGCCAGUAGGGGGAUGCGGAAUUCCGGGUGUAGUGGUGGAAUGCGUAGAGAUCCGGAGGAACACCAGCGGCGAAGGCGGCAUCCUGGACUGGUCCUGACACUCAUGAGCGAAAGCGUGGGGAGCAAACAGG